This 235-nucleotide ribosomal RNA is filed under the name uncultured bacterium. Its description in RNAcentral is "partial 16S ribosomal RNA". It matches the Rfam family "Bacterial small subunit ribosomal RNA", at positions 96 to 334 of the family's 1533-position model. The record is from RNAcentral.
CGGCGGACGGGUGAGUAAUGUCUGGGAAACUGCCCGAUGGAGGGGGAUAACUACUGGAAACGGUAGCUAAUACCGCAUAAUGUCUACGGACCAAAGCGGGGGACCUCCGGGCCUCGCGCCAUCAGAUGAACCCAUAUGGGAUUAGCUUGUAGGUAAGGUAACGGCUUACCUAGGCGACGAUCCCUAGCUGGUCUGAGAGGAUGAUCAGCCACACUGGGACUGAGACACGGCCCAG